UACGAAGGGGGCGAGCGUUGUUCGGAUUUACUGGGCGUAAAGAGCGCGCAGGCGGUCGUUCAAGUCGCGUGUGAAAGCCCCCGGCUCAACUGGGGAGGGUCACGCGAUACUGAUCGACUCGAAGGCAGGAGAGGGUAGUGGAAUUCCCGGUGUAGUGGUGAAAUGCGUAGAUAUCGGGAGGAACACCAGUGGCGAAGGCGACUACCUGGCCUGUUCUUGACGCUGAGGCGCGAAAGCUAGGGGAGCAAACGGG
This 253-nucleotide ribosomal RNA is filed under the name uncultured bacterium. RNAcentral describes it as "partial 16S ribosomal RNA". It matches the Rfam family "Bacterial small subunit ribosomal RNA", at positions 524 to 776 of the family's 1533-position model. The record is from RNAcentral.